GUUGUCCAGAAUAGAAUUUUAGUUCAACUUUAAAUUUUCCUAAAGGACAUAAAACCCUAAUGAAAAUUUAAAUGUUACUCUAAAGAGGGACAGCUCUUUAGAUAUAGGAUACAGCCUUUUAUAAAGAGUAAGUUAUUUUUCAAUCCAUAGUUGGCUUAAAAGCAGCCAUCAAUUAAGAAAGCGUUAAAGCUCAACAACUAAAAACCAACUUAAUAAGAAUAUUUUAAAACGAACUCUUAUAAACCCUAACUGGACUAAUCUAUAAAUCUAUAGAAGAAAUAAUGCUAAUAUAAGUAACAAGAAUACUAUUCUCCUUGCACAAGCUUAUAUCAGAUCGGAUGCCCACUGAUAGUUAACAGCCCCAAUAGAAAUAAUCCACAAAUUAAUAAUCUAUUAACUUUCACUGUUAACCCAACACAGGAGUGCUAUAUAGGAAAGAUUAAAAGAAGAAAAAGGAACUCGGCAAACCCUAACCCCGCCUGUUUACCAAAAACAUCACCUCUAGCAUUACUAGUAUUAGAGGCACUGCCUGCCCAGUGACGUACGUUCAACGGCCGCGGUAUCCUG
RNAcentral lists this ribosomal RNA (567 nucleotides) under Oryctolagus cuniculus (rabbit). RNAcentral's name for it is "partial 16S ribosomal RNA". The record is from RNAcentral. Lineage: Eukaryota; Metazoa; Chordata; Mammalia; Lagomorpha; Leporidae.